UAGCCGAUGUUACACAGCAGGGGGCCC
RNAcentral lists this small RNA (27 nucleotides) under Bombyx mori (domestic silkworm). RNAcentral's name for it is "ovarian small RNA-6355". The record is from RNAcentral. Lineage: Eukaryota; Metazoa; Arthropoda; Insecta; Lepidoptera; Bombycidae.